Molecule: ribosomal RNA, 378 nt
Filed under: Serratia symbiotica
Lineage: Bacteria; Pseudomonadati; Pseudomonadota; Gammaproteobacteria; Enterobacterales; Yersiniaceae
Description: bacterial SSU rRNA
Rfam family: Bacterial small subunit ribosomal RNA
Source: RNAcentral
GUCGAGCGGUAGCACAAGAGAGCUUGCUCUCUGGGUGACGAGCGGCGGACGGGUGAGUAAUGUCUGGGAAACUGCCUGAUGGCGGGGGAUAACUAGUGGAAACGGUAGCUAAUACCGCAUAACGUCGCAAGACCAAAGUGGGGGACCUUCGGGCCUCACGCCAUCAGAUGUGCCCAGGUGGGAUUAGCUGGUAGGUGGGGUAACGGCUCACCUAGGCGACGAUCCCUAGCUGGUCUGAGAGGAUGACCAGCCACACUGGAACUGAGACACGGUCCAGACUCCUACGGGAGGCAGCAGUGGGGAAUAUUGCACAAUGGGCGCAAGCCUGAAGCAGCCAUGCCGCGUGUAUGAAGAAGGCCUUCGGGUUGUAAAGCACUU